RNAcentral lists this long non-coding RNA (4726 nucleotides) under Homo sapiens (human). RNAcentral describes it as "HSALNT0216213". Lineage: Eukaryota; Metazoa; Chordata; Mammalia; Primates; Hominidae. The record is from RNAcentral.
GGGAGAGGUUAUUUCCCCACCGUGUUCAGGGACAACCCUGUGAUCAUGGUUUUGGUCACAUAGCUUCCAAGUGAGUGUUGUGCAAACAUUUGCUAGGAUCUCUCGGGGAGCCUGUUAGAAAAGAAACUCCUGAGCCUGCUCCAGAGCUUCUGUUCAGCAGGCCUGAGGUGGGACCAUACACCUGUCUUUUCAGCAAGCCCCCCCCCACCUCUGAGGAUGCACCCCAAAGCUAGAGAAUUCCUGCUCUGAGCCAUCUCUGAAAGCACCAAGAGCCAGCUCACGGAGGAGAUGCCAGCUCACGGAGGAAAAUCUGGAAGGUGUUGAAGCAUAGACGCUGGAACAUAAAAUGACUCAUGAUCUCACUGGGAGAAGGGCUGGGAACAUCGUGGGCUCUCUUCUCCCCGCGCUCCUCUCUCCGGGUCUCUGUUUCCCUCAUUCCACGAUGUUUAGAACCAUCGGCGCACUACAUCAGACUAGAGGUCUGGGGUCACCCGACCAUCCCGCCACAAGCCCCUCCGAGGCAUCACUGUGUCCAGAUUUUGCAAACUGCACCUCCUGAAGGGGCUGGGGUCUGUCCACUUCGCCCCAUCUGCCGUGGCAGCACUUCCUCCGUGGUUCGCACCCCCACAGCAGCCUCCUGGGAAGGCACCUCCCUGGGGCCCCUCUCAGUCCACGGUGUGGAUAUGGUGAGUUCUUAAACCAUGAACUUCUGAUUUCACAGCUCUGCUUGAAGCCUUCAAUGUCAGGCUUCCUGUUGCUCUUAAGAUAAUGAUCAAAACUCUCAACAAAGUUCCCCUGAUAAAUGCUCUCAACGUGCCCCCCACCACAGCAUCCCUAACUGUAAUGAAUACAUCAUUGGUCCUCACGGCAGCGGAUUAAUCGUCUGUGAGUGUUGGUUUAAUCUUUCUCUUCUGGAGUUUAGCUGUCACUGCCAUAUCCCCAGCACGGAGCACAAUGACAUGUUUAUAUGUAGAAAAUUGAGCGAAAAAUAAAAACAGCUAACAUUUGGGUACUUAUUAUCUUCCAGGCAGCAAGCUAUGCAUUUUGCAUAUAUUAGCAAAUCCAUGAGGCAGGUGCUGUCUUCAUUGUACAGAGGUCAGGAAGAUUCCUGCAGCUGCUGAGUUAGUACUUUUAAGAAAGUACUGGAUUCCCUCUCACAAUGGGACUUUGAUUUUUUUAAGAAAAAGGUUUCAUAAGUUUUCAAAUAACCUGGAGCAGUUGAGCAAACUUAAUGUGCAGCGUGGUCCCUGCUGGCUGGGUUUGAGGGGCUGGGUCUCUCUGAGUGGAUGCUGGUGAGGUGCAGAGGAAGAAGAAAAGGUGCCUGAGGGCCUGUGUGGAAGGCCUGUCACACAGCACAUCCUGGGAAAUCUGUCCAGGAAGCAGCCAGGCGGGCAUCAGCCAGGCGGGCAUCAGCAUCUUCACUGUGCAGAUGAGAAACUGAGGCCGCAGAGGUGAAGGGACAUGCCCAGGAUCACUAAGCAGCGUUUCAGCAUCUCUAUAAAACCCUCACAGUCCUAAUAACAUGCAUGCCAAAAUCCUGCUGUCCCAGCCUUUGGUUCCAGCAGUUUGACUUCUGGAAGUCUUUCCCAAGGAAAUAACCUUGAACCCACGGUGUCUGCUGUAGCAUUCUUCAUAAGAGUGACUGCAAACAACCUCUAAGCCCCAAAUCAUGUAUUGGUUAAAAAAAUAAUGAUUCCUUUUCUUGCUUUAACUCAGGUGAUCCCUAGAAACACAGCCAGUGGCCCGGAAGCUGCACUGUUUUGUGCACCGCAGGGAUGGGCACAGAUGGGGCUGCCUGCCCUCCUCCUGGAAGGAGGGAGAACCCAGUCUGGCCUGGAGUGGUCAAGAGCUAACUCUAGACUCAGCAAGACCUACUUCUCUCUCCUGCCCCUACUUCCUUGCUGCUGACCUGGGCAAGUCGCUGAAGCCUCUCCGUGCCUCAGUCUGCUCGUGCGUAAGAUGGGCACAGGGCACACUGCCUACUUGAUUGGGCUCAACCACGUGCAGUAAGUAGCUGGUGUCUGGCAAGAGCCCUCAGGAAACAGUAACCCCAUUAAUUCAAAUGCACGUGCCUGGAACAGGCUCUGGGGGGCCAGCCCGGGAGUCCCACUCCAUGAUGGCCACCCUGGGGCCUGGCAGGCUGGGCUGGCAUCCCAGGCCCACCGGAUACUGGCUGUGCACCCCGGCCAGGCCACACAUCUCUGAGCCUCACUUUCCCGUGUGUGAGAUGAGGCUAGAAGCUGCUUUCUCUUGCGUGUGUGGGGAUUGGCGGUGACAACACGGCCAGGAGCCCAGGCCCAGCCUACGCGAGCAGCCUCGCUCCAGGCCACACGCCCCACUCCUGACAGCUCUGUGCAGCGAGUUCGUGCGCGAGCGGGUGGCUGUCUGCCAGGCGAGGGGCGCGGGUGCCCAAGAGGGCUUCACUGCUUCUGGAAAGAUCACAAGGAAAAACCACCUCCGCGGCGGGACGCUACCCGCGGGCCGCUGCGGUCCCGCUCGCGGCCGGCAGGGGGCAGGAUGUCCCCGCGAGUCGCCCGUGUCUUCGGGUGUCCUCAGGUCACCCCGCACCGCUCGCAGCCUCCGCGCCUAGUUAAAGGGCGACGCACUCAUUUCUGCAAAGAAGGAGCCCAGCGGCCCCUCCCCGGGGAACUCUUUCCAUCAACUCGGGGCCUAAUAAUUUACAUUUAAUUUGUUAGCGGUUUAAUGUUUAAUUUUAAAAGCGAGAUGAUUCAUUACCAUAUUAAUAAAUAAUAACAUUUAUUAUUCUCCUAAUGAGUGUCCAAAAUACAGAAGCAAUUACAUGUUUUAUAUAUUUUCUCGUAAUUUGAGACACCAGAGCGUUAAUUACAGAGACUCACGCGUGGACCCCAUUCUGAUCCAGGGUCCUGAUCCUGCCUUUGUUUCGGUCUCUGAACCAGCCGCCCUCCGGGGCUUCUGCAAUUCCCUCAAUUAGAGGAGAGGAAGUCGUACGUGACGAAGCUGGGGCUCUCACAGAACCCCGGCGCCCCAGACCCAGGAGCUGCAAGACCUCAGCUCCCCGUGCCCACACUCGGAGACCCAGGCCCCUCCCAGUCCCCCGUCUCCUCUGUGCAGGGUUCUUCAGGAAGAAUCGGAAAGAGGCCCCCCGACCCACAACCAGCCUCGCAUUCCCUCCUCCCGCAGGGAUCCAUUGAGCUGGGGGGUGGGACUAUCCUCACUUCACAGAUGGGGAAACUGAGUCCUGGAGAGAGACGCUCCGGUGUCCUCAGCUGGUGAGGGGCAGAUCCGGGAGCCACGUCCCACGCAGUCGGUUGGCCCCAAGCUUGGUUCCUGCCUCAACCCCAGCGCAGGUUGCAGCAGGCCCGCGUAGGAGGGCGGCCUGGGUCUGGACAGAUCCACAGCCGGCCAACGCCCCUGGCUAGCUCUCUAUGGCUUUGCUUCUUCUCUUGACUUGCCAAGUUCUUCUUGUUCAUUGUAGAAAAUGUGGAAGGUGAGGCCGGGAGCGGUGGCUCACGCCUGUAAUCCUAGCACUUUGGGAGGCCGAGGCGGGCAGAUUGCCUGAGCUCAGGAGUUCGAGACCAGCCUGGGCAACAUGGUGAAACACGUCUCUACUAAAAAAAAAAAAAAAAAAAAAAAAAAAAUUUGCUGGGCGUGACGGCAGGCGCCUGUAGUCCCAGUGGGAGUUUGGGGAGGCUGAGGCAGGAGAAUCACUUGAACCCGGGAAGCAGAGAUUGCAGUGAGCCGAGAUCGUGCCACUGCACUCCAAUCUAGCGACAGAGCAAGACUCCGUCUCAAAAAAAAAAAAAAAAAAAAAAGUGGAAGGUGAAAAAAACACGGAGAGACAGCAAAGCUGGCAAUGACAUAGCUCCAAAAAUCCCACUUCUCAGAUAAGAUGCAGGCAGUAAGGGCCUGGAGUUUUAUGUAUCCUGAUGUUUGAAAGGGCUUGGACAGGGCACUUCCUCCCUCCAUAGCUCUUCUGUCCUUAGGAAUCCCUCCCUUCUGGAGGGGAAGGGUGGGGGUUUUCCUGUUUGGUCCCCAGGGAAGGAAGUUCAGAGACAGAGGCCCACUCAGGGCCACCCCCUGGCCUGCACCCCUGAAAUGCAAUUUGGAUAAUAUGGAAAAUUACUAGGAAGAAAAAACGCUAUAAUCCCCCCACCUAGAGAUAACCAGGCGUUCUGGUAUAUACCUAUUGAGGACUUUUUUCCCAAGCAAAUACUCAGAAAGAGACUUCCUCCCAAUAGGCAUGAGAUCUUACUCCACGUGCAGUUUGUCUUAUCUUGAUUUUUUUCCAGUAAUCUUUUAAGAGUUUCCCAUGCCAUGUAGUCAUUCUUCAAAAACCCACUUUGAACAGCUGCGUAAUAUUCCGCUGUGGAGGAGUGCCCUGCAGUGUAGAGAAAUGAGUUAUUUACGCUGAAGUCUGUUAUUACAUGGACAUCUUCCCUUUUCUGACCCUGCAAUGACCACACUCAUAGGUGAGUCUCUCUGGAAAUCCUUGACUACCUCCUUAGGGUCCAUUCUUAGAAGUGGAAUUACUGGGUUAGAGGGCAUGAGUGCCUUGAGGGCGGCUGUCUCCCUCUACCUGCAUGCCUGCCAGGGCAAACCCGUGCAUGCUCCCAGGACAGGCCUGGCAGGGCGUGUCUCCCUGCUGCACCCUUGGUACCCUUGGCAGGGCUAACAUUAUCCUCUAAACCAGGUCUUUGCAGCACUUACCCUUUUCAAGGUGCUACUGUACCUCUCCUUUAAGGAG